CCUACGGGUGACAGCAGUGGGGAAUAUUGCACAAUGGGGGAAACCCUGAUGCAGCGACGCCGCGUGAGUUAAGAAGUAUUUCGGUAUGUAAAGCUCUAGCAGCAGGGAAGAAAAAAGACGGUACCUGACUAAGAAGCACCGGCGAACUACGUGCAAGCAGCCGCGGUAAUACGUAGGGGGGAAGCGGUAGACGGAUAGACUGGGUGUAAAGGGAGCGUAGUCGGAGAAGCAAGUCUGAAGUGAAAGCCCGUGGCUUAACCACUGAACUGCUUUUGAAACUGUUUGACUAGAGUGCUGUAGAGGUAAGUGGACUUCCUAGUGUAGCGGUGAAAUGCGUAGAUAUUAGGAGGAACACCAGUGGCGAAGGCGGCUGACUGGCCAGUAACUGACGUUGAGGCUCGAAAGCGUGGGGAGCAAACAGGAUUAGAUACCCGGGUAGUC
This 441-nucleotide ribosomal RNA is filed under the name uncultured bacterium. Its description in RNAcentral is "partial 16S ribosomal RNA". It matches the Rfam family "Bacterial small subunit ribosomal RNA", at positions 338 to 795 of the family's 1533-position model. The record is from RNAcentral.